UACGUAGGGUGCGAGCGUUGUCCGGAAUUAUUGGGCGUAAAGGGCUCGUAGGCGGUUUGUCGCGUCGGGAGUGAAAACCUUGGGCUUAACUCAGGGCUUGCUUUCGAUACGGGCAGACUAGAGGUAUGCAGGGGAGAACGGAAUUCCUGGUGUAGCAGUGAAAUGCGCAGAUAUCAGGAGGAACACCGGUGGCGAAGGCGGUUCUCUGGGCAUGAUCUGACGCUGAGGAGCGAAAGUGUGGGGAGCGAACAGG
Molecule: ribosomal RNA, 253 nt
Filed under: uncultured bacterium
Lineage: Bacteria
Description: partial 16S ribosomal RNA
Rfam family: Bacterial small subunit ribosomal RNA
Source: RNAcentral